UACGUAGGGUGCAAGCGUUGUCCGGAAUUAUUGGGCGUAAAGAGCUCGUAGGCGGUCUGUCGCGUCUGCUGUGAAAACUCGGGGCUUAACCCCGGGCCUGCAGUGGGUACGGACAGACUAGAGUGCGGUAGGGGAGACUGGAAUUCCUGGUGUAGCGGUGAAAUGCGCAGAUAUCAGGAGGAACACCGGUGGCGAAGGCGGGUCUCUGGGCCGUAACUGACGCUGAGGAGCGAAAGCGUGGGGAGCGAACAGG
RNAcentral lists this ribosomal RNA (253 nucleotides) under uncultured bacterium. RNAcentral's name for it is "partial 16S ribosomal RNA". It matches the Rfam family "Bacterial small subunit ribosomal RNA", at positions 524 to 776 of the family's 1533-position model. The record is from RNAcentral.